RNAcentral lists this ribosomal RNA (253 nucleotides) under uncultured bacterium. RNAcentral's name for it is "partial 16S ribosomal RNA". It matches the Rfam family "Bacterial small subunit ribosomal RNA", at positions 524 to 776 of the family's 1533-position model. The record is from RNAcentral.
UACGGAGGGGGUUAGCGUUGUUCGGAAUGACUGGGCGUAAAGCGCGCGUAGGCGGAUCGCGAAGUUGGGGGUGAAAGCCCAGGGCUCAACCCUGGAAUGGCCCUCAAGACUCGCGGUCUGGAGUUCGAGAGAGGUGGGUGGAAUUCCGAGUGUAGAGGUGAAAUUCGUAGAUAUUCGGAGGAACACCAGUGGCGAAGGCGGCCCACUGGCUCGACACUGACGCUGAGGCGCGAAAGCGCGGGGAGCAAACAGG